This 74-nucleotide transfer RNA is filed under the name Arthrobacter rhombi. It matches the Rfam family "tRNA". Rfam says of the family: Transfer RNA (tRNA) molecules are approximately 80 nucleotides in length. Their secondary structure includes four short double-helical elements and three loops (D, anti-codon, and T loops). Further hydrogen bonds mediate the characteristic L-shaped molecular structure. tRNAs have two regions of fundamental functional importance: the anti-codon, which is responsible for specific mRNA codon recognition, and the 3' end, to which the tRNAs corresponding amino acid is attached (by aminoacyl-tRNA synthetases). tRNAs cope with the degeneracy of the genetic code in two manners: having more than one tRNA (with a specific anti-codon) for a particular amino acid; and 'wobble' base-pairing, i.e. permitting non-standard base-pairing at the 3rd anti-codon position. Lineage: Bacteria; Bacillati; Actinomycetota; Actinomycetes; Micrococcales; Micrococcaceae. The record is from Rfam by way of RNAcentral. RNAcentral also lists the same sequence under 1 other name.
GGGGCGAUAGCUCAGUUGGUUAGAGCAAGGGACUCAUAAUCCCUGGGUCGUGGGUUCAAGCCCCACUCGCCCCA